GACGAACGCUGGCGGCGUGCUUAACACAUGCAAGUCGAACGGAAAGGCCUCUUUCGGGGGGUACUCGAGUGGCGAACGGGUGAGUAACACGUGAGUAACCUGCCCUUGACUUUGGGAUAACUUCAGGAAGCUGGGGCUAAUACCGGAUAGGAGCUCCUGCUGCAUGGUGGGGGUUGGAAAGUUUCGGCGGUUGGGGAUGGACUCGCGGCUUAUCAGCUUGUUGGUGGGGUAGUGGCUUACCAAGGCUUUGACGGGUAGCCGGCCUGAGAGGGUGACCGGCCACAUUGGGACUGAGAUACGGCCCAGACUCCUACGGGAGGCAGCAGUGGGGAAUAUUGCACAAUGGGUGGAAGCCUGAUGCAGCAACGCCGUGUGCGGGAUGACGGCCUUCGGGUUGUAAACCGCUUUCGCUCAUGACGAAGCUUUGUGUGACGGUAGUGGGUAAAGAAGCACCGGCUAACUACGU
This 466-nucleotide ribosomal RNA is filed under the name uncultured bacterium. Its description in RNAcentral is "partial 16S ribosomal RNA". It matches the Rfam family "Bacterial small subunit ribosomal RNA", at positions 28 to 506 of the family's 1533-position model. The record is from RNAcentral.